UGUACAUAGUUAUUUUAAAACAAGCUUAUAAGAUAUGGAUUCAAAAAUAAGCAAUUUAAUAAGAUAUAAUCUAGAAUUAAGGACAGAUUUUUGUCAUGAACUUGAUAGUAAUAAUAUAAACACUUUGCAGGAAUGUGAUAGUAAUUAUAAUAACCAUUUUUGGUCUUUCUCAAGGCACUUUGCACUUAAAAAUGUUGUUAAAUAUAUAAAAGAUCAACAUAAUGUUAGGAUUACUGAACAAUGAAUGCUAACAUUUUCAUGCUUAUCAGAAACAAUAAGGAACCCAAGGAUCAUUUGGAAUGAACUGGAGUAUAUAAUAUCCCAGUUAGAGAUGAUGAUAAUACAUGGAUUAUGAAAUAUAUUGGCAGCAUUAAAAUUAUUGUUUAGGAUCUAUACAAGAGGAAGGUCAAAAAGUUCUUGCCCUCAUCACAAUGAAAAUGUGCUAGAGAUCUGAAAUUUGGUCCUCCAAUUAUUCCUUCUCUAUAUAAUCAUUCUAGGCCACACACUUCCCAUACCUAUGGAGCAGUUAUUUAAUUCCAUCUUUAUAGAAAGCAGCAAAAUUUGAAGGCAAACAACUCUUUACAGCAGUAAUGACUUCCUUGGAAACUUCAUUCCCUGUAAAUGUUUCUUUAUAUUUUGAAAGAAGAAGUCUGAAUGUAUCAGGUUGGGAAAACUUGGAGGAUAGGGCAAGAUUUCAUAAUCAUAUUUGCAUAAAAAAGUAACUUUUUCUGCAGCUCAAUAUCAGGUGCAUUGUCAUCUGACAGCAUUACACUUUUUGACAGAAAACCAU
This 790-nucleotide long non-coding RNA is filed under the name Androctonus crassicauda. Lineage: Eukaryota; Metazoa; Arthropoda; Arachnida; Scorpiones; Buthidae. The record is from RNAcentral.